GUGUAGCAGUGAAAUGCGUAGAUAUCGUGAGGAAGACCGGUGGCGAAGGCGAGUCUCUGGACAGAUCCUGACGCUGAGGCACGAAGGCUGGGGGAGCGAACAGGAUUAGAUACCCUGGUAGUCCCAGCAGUAAACGAUGUGAGCUUGAUGUGGGGGGAUUCGACCCCUUCCGUGUCGAAGCUAACGCGAUAAGCUCACCGCCUGAGGAGUACGGCCGCAAGGCUAAAACUCAAAGAAAUUGACGGGGACCCGCACAAGCGGUGGAGUAUGUGGCUUAAUUCGAUGCAACGCGAAGAACCUUACCUGGCCUUGACAUGCAUUGUGUCGUCGGUGAAAGCCGGCUAGUCCUGGAAACAGGACGCUUUGCACAGGUGCUGCAUGGCUGUCGUCAGCUCGUGUCGUGAGAUGUUGGGUUAAGUCCCGCAACGAGCGCAACCCUUGUGGUCAGUUACUAACCGGCAUAGCCGGGGGACUCUGGCCAGACUGCCCUGUCAAACGGGGAGGAACGCUUGGGACGACGUCAAGUCAGUAUGGCCCUUAUGGCCAGGGCUGCACACGUACUACAAUGCCCGGUACAAUGUGAACCGAAACCGCGAGGUGGAGGAAAUCGCUCUUGAAAACCGGGCCCAGUUCGGAUUGGAGUCUGCAACUCGACUCCAUGAAGUCGGAAUCGCUAGUAAUGGCGCAUCAGCACCUACCCCGUGAUACGUUCCCGGUUCUGUACACACCGCCCGUCACAUCAUGGAGUCUCCUGUACCC
Molecule: ribosomal RNA, 759 nt
Filed under: uncultured organism
Description: bacterial SSU rRNA
Rfam family: Bacterial small subunit ribosomal RNA
Source: RNAcentral